This 74-nucleotide transfer RNA is filed under the name marine sediment metagenome. Its description in RNAcentral is "tRNA-Glu". It matches the Rfam family "tRNA". From Rfam's summary of the family: Transfer RNA (tRNA) molecules are approximately 80 nucleotides in length. Their secondary structure includes four short double-helical elements and three loops (D, anti-codon, and T loops). The record is from RNAcentral.
CUCCCCAUAGUUUAAUGGAAGAACGCUAGCCUUUCAAGCUGGUAGCCUCGGGUCAGUACCGGGUGGGGAGACCA